UCGAACCCUCGUUUCCAUUUCCUCCCCUGAUUCAGAUGCAUUCCAACCCUGUUGCCAUCGCAAUCUUCUGCCCACCUCCGAGUUAGAAUUCAUCAGUCCUCUCCUCCUCCUCCUCCGAUCUUCCGCUCCCGAUGGGCUCAGUCUCGUACGAUGCCGGACUGCCGCACUUGGUUUCCACCUUAAUAAUCAAGGGGACUUCAAUCUUACAUCUGCAACAGCCAGGCAAAGAGGAGUAUUGGAGUUUCUAAAUUUCAGCAAUGAUGAUUAUUAGUCGUGGUAAGGCCUCCCUGCAAUGUCCACUGGAUGAUAACUGCUGUGGUACUUCGCCUUGUUGGAAAUACCGAGGAAGAACUUUUGCAAAAGUCAACAAAAAGAUGGUCAACUUUGGCCAUCACUUGGACAGAGACAUUGACCCUUGUGCACCGGAUUUAUCCCCCUUUUUCUUCACUUGGACAUUGCACCAACCGGAGGGACCGAAUCCCAAAUGCGAGUAUGGAUAGUAGGACAUCUGCGGAGGAUAACCUCAAAAGAAGGAAGAUUAGAAAUUGAUGUGAUAGUUAUCUGCUAUUGGGACUGGCUUAUACACCAUUCAGAGACAAAUCUAGGAAUCUCAAACUCCUAGAUUUGGAAUAAAUGGAGUGCUGAGGACCAUCAACCUGGUCACAACUAUGAUGGUACCAGUGACUUGCGCAUUAAAAGAAAAAUUCUAUAGGGUCAAAACUCUGCUGCAUGACCAUUCAGAUGUUUUG
Musa acuminata subsp. malaccensis (wild Malaysian banana) is the source of this 749-nucleotide non-coding RNA. Lineage: Eukaryota; Viridiplantae; Streptophyta; Magnoliopsida; Zingiberales; Musaceae. The record is from RefSeq and is a predicted model, not a curated record.